GACGAACGCUGGCGGCGUGCCUAAUACAUGCAAGUCGAACGCACUCUCGUUUAGAUUGAAGGAGCUUGCUCCUGAUUGAUAAACAUUUGAGUGAGUGGCGGACGGGUGAGUAACACGUGGGUAACCUGCCCUAAAGUGGGGGAUAACAUUUGGAAACAGAUGCUAAUACCGCAUAAAACCUAACACCGCAUGGUGUAGGGUUGAAAGAUGGUUUCGGCUAUCACUUUAGGAUGGACCGCGGUGCAUUAGUUAGUUGUGAGGUAAAGGCUCACCAAGACCGUGAUGCAUAGCCGACCUGAGAGGGUAAUCGGCCACACUGGGACUGAGA
This 328-nucleotide ribosomal RNA is filed under the name uncultured bacterium. RNAcentral describes it as "bacterial SSU rRNA". It matches the Rfam family "Bacterial small subunit ribosomal RNA", at positions 28 to 324 of the family's 1533-position model. The record is from RNAcentral.